This 549-nucleotide ribosomal RNA is filed under the name uncultured bacterium. RNAcentral describes it as "bacterial SSU rRNA". It matches the Rfam family "Bacterial small subunit ribosomal RNA", at positions 354 to 894 of the family's 1533-position model. The record is from RNAcentral.
GUGGGGAAUCUUGCGCAAUGCGCGAAAGCGUGACGCAGCAACGCCGCGUGAGGGAAGACGGCCUUCGGGUUGUAAACCUCUUUCAGGAGGGACGAAGUGCCGGCCGUUAAUAGCGGACCGACAUGACGGUACCUCCACAAGAAGCCCCGGCUAACUACGUGCCAGCAGCCGCGGUAAUACGUAGGGGGCAAGCGUUGUCCGGAAUCAUUGGGCGUAAAGAGCGCGUAGGCGGUCCGGUAAGUCCGCUCUGAAAGUCCGGGGCUCAACCCCGGGAGGCGGGUGGAUACUGUCGGACUAGAGUCCGGAAGAGGCGAGUGGAAUUCCUGGUGUAGCGGCGAAAUGCGCAGAUAUCAGGAGGAACACCGAUGGCGAAGGCAGCUCGCUGGGACGGUACUGACGCUGAGGCGCGAAAGCGUGGGGAGCAAACAGGAUUAGAUACCCUGGUAGUCCACGCCGUAAACGAUGGGCACUAGGUGUGGGAGGUGUCGACUCCUCCCGUGCCGGAGCUAACGCAUUAAGUGCCCCGCCUGGGGAGUACGGCCGCAAGGC